GGGGUUGUGGCUCAGUGGUAGAGCACUUGCCUAGCAUGUGCGAGGCCCUGGGUUCAAUCCUCAGCACCA
Molecule: non-coding RNA, 69 nt
Organism: Ictidomys tridecemlineatus (thirteen-lined ground squirrel)
Lineage: Eukaryota; Metazoa; Chordata; Mammalia; Rodentia; Sciuridae
Source: Rfam